CGCACAUUGCACCCUCUGGUAUUCCGGGGGGUAUGCCUGUUCGAGCGUCAUUACAACCCUCAAGCACAGCUUGGUAUUGGGUAGCACCUGAGGUGGUGUACCUUAAAAUCAGUGGCGGUGCCAAUCGGCUUCAAGCGUAGUAGUACUUCUCGCUCUGGAGCUCUUUGUGCUCUCGCCAUAGCACCUUAACUAUUUAUGGUUGACCUCGGAUCAGGUAGGGAUACCCGCUGAACUUAA
RNAcentral lists this unclassified non-coding RNA (237 nucleotides) under Helotiales sp. RNAcentral's name for it is "partial contains 5.8S ribosomal RNA, internal transcribed spacer 2, and large subunit ribosomal RNA". The record is from RNAcentral. Lineage: Eukaryota; Fungi; Ascomycota; Leotiomycetes; Helotiales.